Molecule: long non-coding RNA, 418 nt
Filed under: Populus tremula
Lineage: Eukaryota; Viridiplantae; Streptophyta; Magnoliopsida; Malpighiales; Salicaceae
Description: long non-coding RNA (PTRE_LNC002359)
Source: RNAcentral
UCAUUUCUGAUAAUGAUGUGCAUAUGUACUGGUGGAUGAAUUUUUGUUAUAGUGGGGUGUUUUUAGCCUCUUGUAGAUGAUUGACCCAAGGAUACUCAAUCUGCAGAAAAUAAGAUUACGCAACUCAAAUUUGAUGAAAAUGCAGAUAUGAAUUCGUCUCAUUAAACUUUCAUCAAGGAUAGAAGUUAAAUCUGACCGUGCUGUGUUUGGAUGGGGUAAUGUUCUUGUUCAUGACACGAACUAUUCUUCAGUUGCUGCAUCUAAUUGUCGCAGUGAGGCUGUCUUUGGAUGACAUGCUGUAUGAAAGCGAUGGCACUGGAGGCAGUUCCCCUUCAAAUCCAUCUGCUAAAUCAUGGAAGGGUAGGGUGUAGAUGUAUACUAAUUGUCAAGACUUGAAACAACGAGCAUACGGUUCUUG